GGGGUUGUGGCUCAGUGGUAGAGUGCUCGCCUAGCACGUGUGAGGCUCUGGGUUCAAUCCUCAGCACCA
RNAcentral lists this transfer RNA (69 nucleotides) under Ictidomys tridecemlineatus (thirteen-lined ground squirrel). Its description in RNAcentral is "Spermophilus tridecemlineatus (thirteen-lined ground squirrel) tRNA". It matches the Rfam family "tRNA". Rfam says of the family: Transfer RNA (tRNA) molecules are approximately 80 nucleotides in length. Their secondary structure includes four short double-helical elements and three loops (D, anti-codon, and T loops). Further hydrogen bonds mediate the characteristic L-shaped molecular structure. tRNAs have two regions of fundamental functional importance: the anti-codon, which is responsible for specific mRNA codon recognition, and the 3' end, to which the tRNAs corresponding amino acid is attached (by aminoacyl-tRNA synthetases). tRNAs cope with the degeneracy of the genetic code in two manners: having more than one tRNA (with a specific anti-codon) for a particular amino acid; and 'wobble' base-pairing, i.e. permitting non-standard base-pairing at the 3rd anti-codon position. Lineage: Eukaryota; Metazoa; Chordata; Mammalia; Rodentia; Sciuridae. RNAcentral also lists the same sequence under 1 other name. The record is from Rfam by way of RNAcentral.